GGGAGGCCUUUUUUGUCCUCAACACUGAAGUUAUCUUGGAGUUCUGUUAAAUUGUGAGUCAACAGAUUACUAGUUCAGGCUCUUAAUAUUUCACAUUUAAUGAGAAUUUUUCCUACAGGUAAAUUGCAUGACUUUAAAAUACUGAAGCAUGUCUUACAAGUGUACUUAAUACCCUACAAUUUGUUUAGUCCUUGUUAUUUCUAACUUGGGGUCUUUCCACUAUUUCCGACACUGAGCUGUAACUCUUUAACCUGAGUGUUUCUUUCUUUGUUAUUAGUAGUCUCUCCCCCACUGGGUAGCAGGGUGUUUUGUCUCUGGACUUCUGUUUCAGGAACUUAGAUUCUGUCUUUCAGUGAACCCUGUUAUUUUCCACUAUAG
This 378-nucleotide long non-coding RNA is filed under the name Bos taurus (domestic cattle). Its description in RNAcentral is "long non-coding RNA NONBTAT024260". The record is from RNAcentral. Lineage: Eukaryota; Metazoa; Chordata; Mammalia; Artiodactyla; Bovidae.